This 71-nucleotide transfer RNA is filed under the name Loxodonta africana (African savanna elephant). It matches the Rfam family "tRNA". From Rfam's summary of the family: Transfer RNA (tRNA) molecules are approximately 80 nucleotides in length. Their secondary structure includes four short double-helical elements and three loops (D, anti-codon, and T loops). The record is from Rfam by way of RNAcentral. Lineage: Eukaryota; Metazoa; Chordata; Mammalia; Proboscidea; Elephantidae.
GCAAUGGCGGUUCAGUGGUGGAACUCUCGCCUUCCAUGUGGGAGAGCUAGGUUCAACUUCUGGCCAGAGCA